UCAAGUGAAUAAGUGCAUACGACGGAUGCCUUGGCAGUAGAAGGCGAUGAAGGACGUGAUAAUCUGCGAUAAGCUUCGGUUAGCUGAUAAUAAGCUCUAACCCGGAGAUCUCCGAAUGGGAAAACCCAGUGAUCAUAAGAUCAUUAUCCUUAACUGAAUACAUAGGUUAAGGAGGCAAACCUAGGGAACUGAAACAUCUAAGUACCUAGAGGAAAAGAAAUCAACCGAGAUUCCCUUAGUAGCGGCGAGCGAACGGGGACCAGCCCUUAAGCAAUUUUUUGAUUAGUAGAAUGUUCUGGAAAGUUCAACGACACAGGGUGAUAGUCCCGUAUACGAAAAUCUUUUAAUUGUGAAAUCGAGUAAGGCGGCGCACGUGAAACGCUGUUUGAAAAUGGGGGGACCACCCUCCAAGGCUAAAUACUCUCUACUGACCGAUAGUGAACAAGUACCGUGAGGGAAAGGCGAAAAGAACCCCGGGAGGGGAGUGAAAUAGAACCUGAAAUCGUAUGCAUACAAGCAGUGGGAGCAGACUUGUUCUGUGACUGCGUACCUUUUGUAUAAUGGGUCAGCGACUUACUUCUCAGUAGCAAGGUUAACCAUUAGGGGAGCCGUAGGGAAACCGAGUCUUAAAUGGGCGUUUAGUUGCUGGGAGUAGACCCGAAACCGGGUGAUCUAUCCAUGGCCAGGGUGAAGGUUAGGUAAAACUAACUGGAGGCCCGAACCCACUUAUGUUGAAAAAUGAGGGGAUGAGCUGUGGAUAGGGGUGAAAGGCCAAUCAAACCCGGAGAUAGCUGGUUCUCUCCGAAAUCUAUUUAGGUAGAGCGUCAUGUAUUACUUCUGGGGGUAGAGCACUGUUAUGGCUAGCGGGUCGUCAAGACUUAGUAAACCAUUGCAAACUCCGAAUACCAGAAAGUAUGAGCAUGGCAGACACACUGCGGGUGCUAACGUCCGUAGUGGAAAGGGAAACAACCCAGACCGUCAGCUAAGGUCCCAAAGUGUAUGUUAAGUGGGAAACGAUGUGGGAAGGUUUAGACAGCUAGGAGGUUGGCUUAGAAGCAGCCAUCCUUUAAAGAAAGCGUAAUAGCUCACUAGUCGAAUCGGCCUGCGCGGAAGAUAUAACGGGGCUCAAACAUACCACCGAAGCUACGGACGCAUGCUUGCAUGCGUGGUAGAGGAGCGUUCUGUAGGCCGUUGAAGGGAAAGCUGAGAGGCAUCCUGGAGGUAUCAGAAGUGCGAAUGCUGACAUGAGUAACGAUAAGGGGAGUGAAAAGCUCCCCCGCCGGAAGACCAAGGUUUCCUAUCCAAUGCUAAUCAGGGUAGGGUGAGUCGGCCCCUAAGGCGAGGCUGAAGAGCGUAGUCGAUGGGAAGCAGGUUAAUAUUCCUGCACCACUCAAUAUUGCGAAGGAGGGACGGAGAAGGCUAGUCCAGCACGGCGUUGGUUGUCCGUGUUUAAGCGUGUAGGCUGGGAGUUUAGGUAAAUCCGGACUCCCUUAAGGCUGAGGCGUGAUGACGAGGUCCAUUAGGACUGAAGUGGUUGAUGCCAUGCUUCCAGGAAAAUCUUCUAAGCAUCAGAUAUUGAGUGACCGUACCCCAAACCGACACAGGUGGUCAGGUAGAGAAUACCAAGGCGCUUGAGAGAACUCGGGUGAAGGAACUAGGCAAAAUGGUACCGUAACUUCGGGAGAAGGUACGCCGCUGAUGGUGAUGGGACUUGCUCCCUAAGCUGUUGGCGGCCGAAGAUACCAGGUGGCUGCGACUGUUUAUUAAAAACACAGCACUGUGCAAACACGAAAGUGGACGUAUACGGUGUGACGCCUGCCCGGUGCCGGAAGGUUAAUUGAUGGGGUUAGCUUCGGCGAAGCUCUUGAUCGAAGCCCCGGUAAACGGCGGCCGUAACUAUAACGGUCCUAAGGUAGCGAAAUUCCUUGUCGGGUAAGUUCCGACCUGCACGAAUGGCGUAACGACGGCCACACUGUCUCCACCCGAGACUCAGUGAAAUUGAAAUCGCUGUUAAGAUGCA
This 2020-nucleotide ribosomal RNA is filed under the name marine metagenome. RNAcentral describes it as "bacterial LSU rRNA". It matches the Rfam family "Bacterial large subunit ribosomal RNA", at positions 3 to 2063 of the family's 2925-position model. The record is from RNAcentral.